Molecule: ribosomal RNA, 448 nt
Filed under: uncultured bacterium
Lineage: Bacteria
Description: bacterial SSU rRNA
Rfam family: Bacterial small subunit ribosomal RNA
Source: RNAcentral
UGCCCAGACUCCUACGGGAGGCAGCAGUCGGGAAUAUUGCGCAAUGGAGGAAACUCUGACGCAGUGACGCCGCGUAUAGGAAGAAGGUUUUCGGAUUGUAAACUAUUGUCGUUAGGGAAGAUAAAAGGCAGUACCUAAGGAGGAAGCUCCGGCUAACUACGUGCCAGCAGCCGCGGUAAUACGUAGGGAGCAAGCGUUAUCCGGAUUUACUGGGUGUAAAGGGCGUGUAGCCGGGCUGACAAGUCAGAUGUGAAAUCCCGUGGCUCAACCACGGAACUGCAUUUGAAACUGUCGGUCUUGAGUAUCGGAGAGGCAGGCGGAAUUCCUAGUGUAGCGGUGAAAUGCGUAGAUAUUAGGAGGAACAUCAGUGGCGAAGGCGGCCUGCUGGACGACAACUGACGGUGAGGCGCGAAAGCGUGGGGAGCAAACAGGAUUAGAUACCCGCGUA